Daucus carota subsp. sativus is the source of this 794-nucleotide long non-coding RNA. RefSeq lists it as uncharacterized. Lineage: Eukaryota; Viridiplantae; Streptophyta; Magnoliopsida; Apiales; Apiaceae. The record is from RefSeq and is a predicted model, not a curated record. The transcript has 2 exons.
CCCCCUGGACCAAACAUCUUCUCUAACCAACUCAUAAAUUCUCAAGUUUAUUUCACUUGCUUGCCUCCUACUAUCAGAAUUUUAUUAGUUUCUGCGCUACAAGAAAAGCGGGUAAAUUCGGCCAGAAAGAAGUUGUGAAUCCGAUAUAUAUGAUGAUGACAAUGGAUCAUACACAAGAACAAAGACAAUUGUAUCAAGAUUCAUGUAAAGAGUCAUUGAUGAUCUUUUCGAGAAACUUGAAAGAUGAUCAGAACUGGGAUUUAAUUGGCAAAGAAACCUGUGAUUCCGAAAAAUCAUCAUCGAUUGGAGAAGCUUCGAUGAAUUCGAACGGAUGUUCAAUAUCCUCUUCAUUAGACACAACAGAUGAUGCAUCUUCUUCAUGUUCUUCGUCUAAUUCUGCAAAUUCAAGUGGAUCUUUAUAUGAUUUAUCAGACCUCAUGUCUCAGUUGCCUAUCAAGAGAGGGUUAUCAAAGUUCUAUCAGGGGAAAUCUCAGUCAUUUACUUCCCUAGCAAGGGUGGGAAGCGUAGAAGAGCUAGCCAAGAAAGAAAGUGCUUACAACAGAAGAAAAUCAAUGAAAGGAUGCAGAAGCUAUGGAGGUAGUUUGAACAAUUAUAAAUCACACACCCUCCCAAAGCCCAUCAUUUCGAAGAAAAAUUCCCGGGGAUUAGUUUCUUCUUCGUCUUUUUCAAAUAGAAGGGGAUUUAAGGCUCCGUUUGUUUGACCACCGAAAAUUAUUUUUCGGAAUGUAAACAGAUACCAGAAAUGAGAUACAUAUUUUUUUUCCUUUAUCAAA